GAUGAACGCUAGCGGCAGGCCUAACACAUGCAAGUCGAGGGAGGAGCUUUCGGGCUUCGACCGGCGUACGGGUGCGUAACGCGUAUACAAUCUGCCUUUCACAUAGGGAUAGCCCGAAGAAAUUUGGAUUAAUACCUAAUGGUAUAUAGAGGUGGCAUCACCUUUAUAUUAAAGCUGAGGCGGUGAAAGAUGAGUAUGCGUUCUAUUAGCUAGUUGGAGAGGUAACGGCUCCCCAAGGCGACGAUAGAUAGGGGUUCUGAGAGGGAUAUCCCCCACACUGGUACUGAGAUACGGACCAGACUCCUACGGGAGGCAGCAGUGAGGAAUAUUGGACAAUGGUCGGAAGACUGAUCCAGCCAUGCCGCGUGCAGGAAGACGGCCUUAUGGGUUGUAAACUGCUUUUGCGGGGGAAGAAUAAGGACUACGCGUAGUUUGAUGACGGUACUCUGCGAAUAAGCAUCGGCUAACUCCGUG
Molecule: ribosomal RNA, 474 nt
Filed under: uncultured bacterium
Lineage: Bacteria
Description: partial 16S ribosomal RNA
Rfam family: Bacterial small subunit ribosomal RNA
Source: RNAcentral